UACAGAGGGUGCAAGCGUUAAUCGGAAUUACUGGGCGUAAAGGGCGCGUAGGUGGUUUAUUAAGUCAGAUGUGAAAUACCUGGGCUUAACCUGGGAAUUGCAUUUGAAACUAAUUGGCUAGAGUAUGGGAGAGGGAAGUGGAAUUUCCGGUGUAGCGGUGAAAUGCGUAGAUAUCGGAAGGAACACCAGUGGCGAAGGCGACUUCCUGGCCCGUUACUGACACUGAGGCGAGAAAGCGUGGGGAGCGAACAGG
RNAcentral lists this ribosomal RNA (253 nucleotides) under uncultured bacterium. RNAcentral's name for it is "partial 16S ribosomal RNA". It matches the Rfam family "Bacterial small subunit ribosomal RNA", at positions 524 to 776 of the family's 1533-position model. The record is from RNAcentral.